RNAcentral lists this ribosomal RNA (1238 nucleotides) under Austrolittorina unifasciata. RNAcentral's name for it is "partial 16S ribosomal RNA". It matches the Rfam family "Bacterial large subunit ribosomal RNA", at positions 565 to 2619 of the family's 2925-position model. Lineage: Eukaryota; Metazoa; Mollusca; Gastropoda; Littorinimorpha; Littorinidae. The record is from RNAcentral.
UACAAUCUUAGCAGAUAUUUAACCACCCUAACCAUAUUUUAAAAACAUUAAACUUACACAGUAAAGGAGAUUAAAUUUUUGUAAAACAUUAUCUGCCUAAAGUACCGUAAGGGAAAUUUUAAAUAAAUUAUACCACAGUAGCACUAAAACUACAUACCUUUUGUAUCAUGGUUUAACUAGAUUCUUAUCUUGGAAAUAGACCUCUCGAAAUCCAAUGCGCUACCUUACUUAAUUAUUAUAGUAAUUUAAAAAUAAUUGUAGCAUAAAUUUUUAAAUAAAGCAAGGAAGAAAUGAAAUUUUAUUCGUAUUGGAUGAUAGCUAGUUUUUCCUGAAACGCAUAAAAGUGCCCAGAAACACUAAAUAAUUAAAAAAAAUUUUUUAUUUAUUCUUGUAUCUACUAAACCUCUGAGGAUAAGCUCGGAAGUUAAAUCUAUAAUAUUCAGUUUUAAUUUAAAUUUAAGCUUGGAAAUAGCUAAAAUAUUUAAGUUUGUUAUAAUUUAUAAAGCAAACAGAAAAAUAAUAAAUUUAUUUACUACUAAGGAAAAUUAAUCUUAAACACCUAAGAUCAGUUUUUAUGUUAAAAUGAGUACUUACUAAUUUUAAUUAUUUAAUAAUAUACUUAUUUAAAUCUUAAUCUCAUUCUACUACAUAAUUUUUGUAAAGGAACUCGGCAAAUCUUGGCCCUGCCUGUUUAUCAAAAACAUGGCUCUUCGAGANAUCNACAUGAAGAGUCGGACCUGCCCAGUGAUAUAUAAAAUAUUUAACGGCCGCGGUACUCUGACCGUGCAAAGGUAGCAUAAUCAUUUGCUCUAUAAUUGAGGGCUGGAAUGAAAGGUUUGACAAGGGCCGCCCUGUCUCUACAAAAAUUACUGGAACUUACUUUUUAGGUGAAGAAUCCUAAAUAAAAUUAAAAGACAAGAAGACCCUAUCGAGCUUGAAACUUAUCUGUGAUAUCAAGAAAAUAGAAUAUAUUUCCUUUCAUGGAAAAUUUUGGUUGGGGCGACAGAGGAACAACAAAAGCUUCUUUUUACAUAAACAUAUAUUUAUAGAGAUCCACAUUUUUGUGAUCAAAAGAAUUAGUUACCGUAGGGAUAACAGCAUAAUCUUUUUAGAGAGUUCUUAUCGAAAAAAAGGUUUGUGACCUCGAUGUUGGACUAGAAUAUCCUGACAGGUGCAGAAGCCUUCAAGGGUUGGUCUGUUCGACCAUUAAAAUUCUACGUGAUCUGAGUUCAACCCGG